Molecule: ribosomal RNA, 500 nt
Filed under: uncultured bacterium
Lineage: Bacteria
Description: bacterial SSU rRNA
Rfam family: Bacterial small subunit ribosomal RNA
Source: RNAcentral
AGAUCAUGGCUCAAGGAUGAACGCUAGCGGCAGGCUUAAUACAUGCAAGUCGUGGGGCAGCAGGUUUGUAGCAAUACAGAUGCUGGCGACCGGCAAACGGUGCGGAACACGUACAGAACCUUCCUUUGAGCGGGGAAUAGCCCAGAGAAAUUUGGAUUAAUACCCCAUAGUAUAAUGAAGUGGCAUCACUUUAUUAUUAAAGAUUUAUCACUCGAAGAUGGCUGUGCGGCUGAUUAGGUAGUUGGCGGGGUAAAGGCCCACCAAGCCUGCGAUCAGUAACUGGUGUGAGAGCACGACCAGUCACACGGGCACUGAGACACGGGCCCGACUCCUACGGGAGGCAGCAGUAAGGAAUAUUGGUCAAUGGAGGCAACUCUGAACCAGCCAUGCCGCGUGGAGGAUGAAGGUCCUCUGGAUUGUAAACUUCUUUUAUAUGGGACGAAAAAGGCUUUCUAAGUCGUCUGACGGUACCAUAUGAAUAAGCACCGGCUAACUCCGUG